This 213-nucleotide long non-coding RNA is filed under the name Homo sapiens (human). Its description in RNAcentral is "non-protein coding lnc-TET1-4:1". Lineage: Eukaryota; Metazoa; Chordata; Mammalia; Primates; Hominidae. The record is from RNAcentral.
AGGCAGGAGAAUUGAUUGACCCAGGAGGUGGAGGUUGCAGUGAGCCGAGGUCAUGCCAUUGCAAUCCAGCCUGGGUGACAGAGCAAGACUGUCUCAAUAACAACCACAGCAAAAAUGAAUAUACAUGUUAAUUUCAAAUGAAUUAAUAAACAUGUUUUACUUUCUAGUACAGUAAUUAAUCAUAGAUAUAGCCCACAUAAACAAAAGCUCUUU